RNAcentral lists this ribosomal RNA (374 nucleotides) under uncultured organism. RNAcentral's name for it is "bacterial SSU rRNA". It matches the Rfam family "Bacterial small subunit ribosomal RNA", at positions 526 to 896 of the family's 1533-position model. The record is from RNAcentral.
CGGGGGGAGCAAGCGUUGUUCGGAUUUACUGGGCGUAAAGGGCGCGUAGGCGGCGUCUGCAAGUCGACUGUGAAAUCUCCGGGCUUAACCCGGAAAGGUCAGCCGAUACUGCAGGGCUAGAGUGCAGAAGGGGCAACUGGAAUUCUCGGUGUAGCGGUGAAAUGCGUAGAUAUCGAGAGGAACACCUGCGGCGAAGGCGGGUUGCUGGGCUGACACUGACGCUGAGGCGCGAAAGCUAGGGGAGCGAACGGGAUUAGAUACCCCGGUAGUCCUAGCCUUAAACGAUGAAUGCUUGGUGUCUGGGGUUUUAUAGUCCCCGGGUGCCGUCGCUAACGCUUUAAGCAUUCCGCCUGGGGAGUACGGUCGCAAGACUG